RNAcentral lists this ribosomal RNA (405 nucleotides) under uncultured Anaerolineaceae bacterium. RNAcentral describes it as "bacterial SSU rRNA". It matches the Rfam family "Bacterial small subunit ribosomal RNA", at positions 355 to 776 of the family's 1533-position model. The record is from RNAcentral. Lineage: Bacteria; Bacillati; Chloroflexota; Anaerolineae; Anaerolineales; Anaerolineaceae.
UAGGGAAUAUUGCACAAUGGGCGAAAGCCUGAUGCAGCAACGCCGCGUGCGCGAUGAAGACCUUCGGGUUGUAAAGCGCUUUUCUGAAGGAAGAGGAAGGACUGUACUUCAGGAAUAAGGAUUGGCUAACUACGUGCCAGCAGCCGCGGUAAUACGUAGGAUCCGAGCGUUAUCCGAAUUUACUGGGCGUAAAGCGCGUGCAGGCGGUCUGAUAAGUUGGAUGUGAAAGCUCCUGGCUCAACUGGGAGAGGCCGUUCAAAACUAUCAGACUAGAGGGCGGUAGAGGGAGGUGGAAUUCCCGGUGUAGUAGUGAAAUGCGUAGAUAUCGGGAGGAACACCAGUGGCGAAAGCGGCCUCCUGGACCGUUCCUGACGCUCAGACGCGAAAGCUAGGGGAGCAAACGGG